RNAcentral lists this ribosomal RNA (496 nucleotides) under uncultured bacterium. RNAcentral describes it as "partial 16S ribosomal RNA". It matches the Rfam family "Bacterial small subunit ribosomal RNA", at positions 28 to 506 of the family's 1533-position model. The record is from RNAcentral.
GAUGAACGCUGGCGGCGUGCCUAAUACAUGCAAGUCGAGCGAACAGACGAGGAGCUUGCUCCUCUGACGUUAGCGGCGGACGGGUGAGUAACACGUGGAUAACCUACCUAUAAGACUGGGAUAACUUCGGGAAACCGGAGCUAAUACCGGAUAACAUGUUGAACCGCAUGGUUCAACAGUGAAAGACGGUUUUGCUGUCACUUAUAGAUGGAUCCGCGCCGCAUUAGCUAGUUGGUAAGGUAACGGCUUACCAAGGCAACGAUGCGUAGCCGCCCUGAGAGGGUGAUCGGCCCCACUGGACCUGAGACACGGUCCAGCCUCCUACGGGAGGCAGCAGUAGGGAAUCUUCCGCAAUGGGCGAAAGCCUGACGGAGCAACGCCGCGUGAGUGAAGAAGGUCUUCGGAUCGUAAAACUCUGUUAUUAGGGAAGAACAAAUGUGUAAGUAACUAUGCACGUCUUGACGGUACCUAAUCAGAAAGCCACGGCUAACUACGU